RNAcentral lists this ribosomal RNA (253 nucleotides) under uncultured bacterium. Its description in RNAcentral is "partial 16S ribosomal RNA". It matches the Rfam family "Bacterial small subunit ribosomal RNA", at positions 524 to 776 of the family's 1533-position model. The record is from RNAcentral.
UACGUAGGGUGCGAGCGUUAAUCGGAAUUACUGGGCGUAAAGUGUGCGCAGGCGGCGUCGCAAGUCGAGUGUGAAAGCCCCGGGCUUAACUUGGGAAUGGCGCUCGAAACUACGAUGCUGGAGUGUGGCAGAGGAAGGUGGAAUUCCACGUGUAGCGGUGAAAUGCGUAGAGAUGUGGAGGAACACCGAUGGCGAAGGCAGCCUUCUGGGCCAACACUGACGCUCAUGCACGAAAGCGUGGGGAGCAAACAGG